Molecule: ribosomal RNA, 419 nt
Filed under: bacterium
Lineage: Bacteria
Description: partial 16S ribosomal RNA
Rfam family: Bacterial small subunit ribosomal RNA
Source: RNAcentral
UGGGGGAUAUUGCACAAUGGGCGAAAGCCUGAUGCAGCGACGCCGCGUGGGGGAUGAAGGCCUUCGGGUUGUAAACUUCUUUUGCUCUGAACAAGGCAUGCUAAUGGGUGUGUUGAGUGUAGGGGUUGAUUAGCGCCGGCUAACUACGUGCCAGCAGCCGCGGUAAUACGUAGGGCGCGAGCGUUGUCCGGAAUUAUUGGGCGUAAAGGGCUUGUAGGUGGCUGGUUGCGUCUGUCGUGAAAGCUAAUGGCUUAACUGUGGGUUUGCGGUGGGUACGGGCUGGCUUGAGUGCAGUAGGGGAGGCUGGAAUUCCUGGUGUAGCGGUGGAAUGCGCAGAUAUCAGGAGGAAUACCGGUGGCGAAGGCGGGUCUCUGGGCUGUUACUGACACUGAGGAGCGAAAGCAUGGGGAGCGAACAGG